This 218-nucleotide long non-coding RNA is filed under the name Mytilus galloprovincialis (Mediterranean mussel). Lineage: Eukaryota; Metazoa; Mollusca; Bivalvia; Mytilida; Mytilidae. The record is from RNAcentral.
GUCUUAUGUGUUUCUCGUUUCACGUUUUUAUAUAGAUAAGAUCGUUGGUUUUGCUGUUUGAUUCUUAUUACACAGUUAUUUUGGGGUCCUUUAUAGCUUGCUGUUGGUGUGAGCCAAUGCGUCAUGUUGAAGACCUGGUGUGAAAAAUGCUCCGUGUUGAUGAUAUACUUAUGUAAAUUGUUUAUACAUUAUAACUUGGACGGAGAGUUGUCUCAUUG